Molecule: ribosomal RNA, 347 nt
Filed under: uncultured eukaryote
Lineage: Eukaryota
Description: SSU rRNA
Rfam family: Eukaryotic small subunit ribosomal RNA
Source: RNAcentral
AUAGCGUAUAUUAAAGUUGUUGCAGUUAAAACGCUCGUAGUUGAACUUCAGACCUGGCCGGGCGGUCCGCUUAACGGCAUGUACUGUCUGGCUUGGCCUUACCUCUUGGUGAGCCGGCGUGCCCUUUAUUGGCGUGCGUCGGGGAACCAGGACUUUUACCUUGAGAAAAUUAGAGUGUUCAAAGCAGGCCUAUGCCCGAAUACAUUAGCAUGGAAUAAUAAAAUAGGACGUGCGGUUCUAUUUUGUUGGUUUCUAGAGUCGCCGUAAUGAUUAAUAGGGAUAGUUGGGGGCAUUGGUAUUGAGUCGCUAGAGGUGAAAUUCUUGGAUUGACUCAAGACCAACUGUUG